Molecule: small nuclear RNA, 109 nt
Organism: Delphinapterus leucas (beluga whale)
Lineage: Eukaryota; Metazoa; Chordata; Mammalia; Artiodactyla; Monodontidae
Source: Ensembl
AUGCUCGCUUCAGCAGCACACAUAUACUAAAAUUGGAACAAUACAGAAAAGAUUAGCAUGGCCCCUGUGCAAGGAUGACAUGCAAAUUCAUGAAGCGUUCCAUAUUUGG